AUGACUACAGGCACACCUGUGGAUUCCCAUGCUGCCACGGGCAGAUGGAAGACUUCAGUAGAUAUGUCAAGUACCUGAGGUGGUUGACAUGUGAGAAUCAGUGUGCAAACGGUGUUAGAAGCCAGAUGCUCUCAGAGUCAGAUGACCAUGUGGAGACAGCACCGGCAGGUGCUUCGCAGUUUGAAACAAGCACUGUCAAAUUGAAGAGAAAGUAUUGAUUGGAGAACUGCAAGGUGUGGCCCAUAGAGGUGACUGUGGCCACUAUCAAUCAUCCUGUGGUGU
Molecule: long non-coding RNA, 282 nt
Filed under: Mus musculus (house mouse)
Lineage: Eukaryota; Metazoa; Chordata; Mammalia; Rodentia; Muridae
Description: long non-coding RNA chr2:50409331-50409613
Source: RNAcentral